Molecule: ribosomal RNA, 301 nt
Filed under: uncultured bacterium
Lineage: Bacteria
Description: partial 16S ribosomal RNA
Rfam family: Bacterial small subunit ribosomal RNA
Source: RNAcentral
CAGUAGCCGCGGGAAUACGAAGGGGGCUAGCGUUGCUCGGAAUUAUUGGGCGUAAAGGGCUCGCAGGCGGUUUCUUAAGUCUGAUGUGAAAGCCCCCGGCUCAACCGGGGAGGGUCAUUGGAAACUGGGAAACUUGAGUGCAGAGGAGGAGAGUGGAAUUCCACGUGUAGCGGUGAAAUGCGUAGAGAUGUGGAGGAACACCAGUGGCGAAGGCGACUCUCUGGUCUGUAACUGACGCUGAGGAGCGAAAGCGUGGGGAGCGAACAGGAUUAGAUACCCCUGUAGUCCCUGUCUCUUAUAC